GACGAACGCUGGCGGCGUGCCUAAUACAUGCAAGUUGAGCGCUGAAGGUUGGUACUUGUACCAACUGGAUGAGCAGCGAACGGGUGAGUAACGCGUGGGGAAUCUGCCUUUGAGCGGGGGACAACAUUUGGAAACGAAUGCUAAUACCGCAUAAAAACUUUAAACACAAGUUUUAAGUUUGAAAGAUGCAAUUGCAUCACUCAAAGAUGAUCCCGCGUUGUAUUAGCUAGUUGGUGAGGUAAAGGCUCACCAAGGCGAUGAUACAUAGCCGACCUGAGAGGGUGGUCGGCCAGAUUGGGACUGAGACACGGCCCAAACUCCUACGGGAGGCAGCAGUAGGGAAUCUUCGGCAAUGGGCGAAAGUCUGACCGAGCAACGCCGCGUGAGUGAAGAAGGUUUUCGGAUCGUAAAACUCUGUUGGUAGAGAAGAACGUUGGUGAGAGUGGAAAGCUCAUCAAGUGACGGUAACUACCCAGAAAGGGACGGCUAACUACGUG
RNAcentral lists this ribosomal RNA (497 nucleotides) under uncultured bacterium. RNAcentral describes it as "partial 16S ribosomal RNA". It matches the Rfam family "Bacterial small subunit ribosomal RNA", at positions 28 to 507 of the family's 1533-position model. The record is from RNAcentral.